RNAcentral lists this long non-coding RNA (239 nucleotides) under Chinchilla lanigera (long-tailed chinchilla). RNAcentral describes it as "lncRNA (ENSCLAG00000024262.1)". The record is from RNAcentral. Lineage: Eukaryota; Metazoa; Chordata; Mammalia; Rodentia; Chinchillidae.
CCGGAAGUCCUCCGUCCGGGGAACGACGAGAUUCUGGACCAACAACAAGAGCAGAAGCAGACAGAUGUUUCCAAGCUCCAGUGGCCAUCUGCUGCGCUCUGCAGAGGAGUGAUCUGCUGUGUGCUUACUCAUAAAACACCCAUUUUGUGAAUGAAAUGAUUUUAGUGGACUCCAAGGCUCUUAAUUUCAUCCUCUGCGAGUAACAAAAUUAAUGUGGAAAUAAAAGUAAACAAACCAUU